AUGAGUUGCAAACUCAACAUCGCGAAUGUAACCUAUGCAGUCUCGGGGUGGCCUGAGAUGGUGGCACACGGGUCAGGGGUAUACCGCGGAGUGUACAACUCUCUGUAUGUUGGCAUCUUGAGUAACUAAAUAAGUA
Molecule: unclassified non-coding RNA, 136 nt
Filed under: soil metagenome
Description: partial internal transcribed spacer 1
Source: RNAcentral